AAUUUUGGACAAUGGGGGAAACCCUGAUCCAGCCAUCCCGCGUGUAUGAUGAAGGCCUNCGGGAUNUNAAGUACUUUGGGCAGAGNCGAAAAGGCAUCCCCUAAUACGGGAUACUGCUGACGGUAUCUGAAGAAUAAGCACCGGCUAUCUACGGGCAAGCAGCCGCGGUAAUACGUAGGGUGCAAGCGUGAAGCGGAAUUACUGGGCGUAAAGCGUGUGUAGGCGGUUCGGAAAGAAAGAUGUCAAAUCCCAGGGCUCAACCUUGGAACUGCAUUUUUAACUGCCGAGCUAGAGUAUGUCAGAGGGGGGUAGAAUUCCACGUGUAGCAGUGAAAUGCGUAGAUAUGUGGAGGAAUACCGAUGGCGAAGGCAGCCCCCUGGGAUAAUACUGACGCUCAGACACGAAAGCGUGGGGAGCAAACAGG
This 424-nucleotide ribosomal RNA is filed under the name uncultured bacterium. RNAcentral's name for it is "partial 16S ribosomal RNA". It matches the Rfam family "Bacterial small subunit ribosomal RNA", at positions 360 to 776 of the family's 1533-position model. The record is from RNAcentral.